CCCUUAGAUGUUCUGGGCCGCACGCGCGCUACACUGAUGCAUUCAACGAGUCCAACCUUGACCGAGAGGUCCGGGCAAUCUUUGAAACUGCAUCGUGAUGGGGCUAGAUUAUUGCAAUUAUUAAUCUUCAACGAGGAAUGCCUAGUAAGCGUGAUUCAUCAAAUCGCGUUGAUUACGUCCCUGCCCUUUGUACACACCGCCCGUCGCUCCUACCGAUUGAGUGUGUUGGUGAGGAGUUUGGAUUGGCCUCGGAAGGUGGUUCGCCACCGUCCGUAGCUGAGAAGUUCUCCAAACCGCCCCACUUAGAGGAAGGAGAAGUCGUAACA
Molecule: ribosomal RNA, 326 nt
Filed under: uncultured eukaryote
Lineage: Eukaryota
Description: partial 18S ribosomal RNA
Rfam family: Eukaryotic small subunit ribosomal RNA
Source: RNAcentral